CAAAAAGUGGACGUGGCGGCGAUUGUUUUUUUCGGAACUUCAAUGCACUGGCUGGUGACAAUGACGGUGGUGGCGAGUUCCUUCACAAUGGUCCUUUCGCGAUGCAAAGGUUUUGUAUUUCAUUUCUACUCUUUUUAUUUAUACUAUCUAUUCAUUGACUGAUGGAGACUGGGACCGCAAACUGAAUUGCCCUUCAUGGGACU
This is a long non-coding RNA of Engraulis encrasicolus (European anchovy), 203 nucleotides long. RefSeq lists it as uncharacterized. The transcript is spliced from 3 exons. The record is from RefSeq and is a predicted model, not a curated record. Lineage: Eukaryota; Metazoa; Chordata; Actinopteri; Clupeiformes; Engraulidae.